Molecule: non-coding RNA, 86 nt
Filed under: unclassified sequences
Source: RNAcentral
UUGUGAGUAAGGCCUGAUCAAUUCUCACGAUGUUUCCUUCCAUAGGUUGGUUAGAAUCGUGAGGACAAGUUGGUUAGGGGUCACAA